RNAcentral lists this ribosomal RNA (372 nucleotides) under uncultured bacterium. RNAcentral's name for it is "bacterial SSU rRNA". It matches the Rfam family "Bacterial small subunit ribosomal RNA", at positions 527 to 898 of the family's 1533-position model. The record is from RNAcentral.
GGAGGGUGCAAGCGUUAAUCGGAAUUACUGGGCGUAAAGCGCGCGUAGGCGGCUGUCUAAGUCGGGUGUGAAAGCCCCGGGCUCAACCUGGGAACUGCAUCCGAUACUGGUCAGCUAGAGUAUGGGAGAGGGAGGUAGAAUUCCACGUGUAGCGGUGAAAUGCGUAGAUAUGUGGAGGAAUACCGGUGGCGAAGGCGGCCUCCUGGCCCAAUACUGACGCUGAGGUGCGAAAGCGUGGGGAUCAAACAGGAUUAGAUACCCUGGUAGUCCACGCUGUAAACGAUGUCAACUAGCCGUUGGGGACCUUGUGUCCUUGGUGGCGUAGCUAACGCGCUAAGUUGACCGCCUGGGGAGUACGGUCGCAAGAUUAAA